This 105-nucleotide ribosomal RNA is filed under the name Photobacterium damselae subsp. damselae. RNAcentral's name for it is "partial 16S ribosomal RNA". Lineage: Bacteria; Pseudomonadati; Pseudomonadota; Gammaproteobacteria; Vibrionales; Vibrionaceae. The record is from RNAcentral.
UUUAAUUGAAGAGUUUGAUCAUGGCUCAGAUUGAACGCUGGCGGCAGGCCUAACACAUGCAAGUCGAGCGGCAGCGACUUAACUGAACCUUCGGGGAACGUUAAG